GAUGAACGCUGGCGGCGUGCCUAAUACAUGCAAGUCGAGCGAACAGACGAGGAGCUUGCUCCUCUGACGUUAGCGGCGGACGGGUGAGUAACACGUGGAUAACCUACCUAUAAGACUGGGAUGACUUCGGGAAACCGGAGAUAAUACCGGAUAAUAUAUUGAACCGCAUGGUUCAAUAGUGAAAGACGGUUUUGCUGUCUCUUAUAGAUGGAUCCGCGCCGCAUUAGCUAGUUGGUAAGGUAACGGCCUACCAAGGCAACGAUGCGUAGCCGACCUGAGAGGGUGAUCGGCCACACUGGAACUGAGACACGGUCCAGACUCCUACGGGAGGCAGCAGUAGGGAAUCUUCCGCAAUGGGCGAAAGCCUGACGGAGCAACGCCGCGUGAGUGAUGAAGGUCUUCGGAUCGUAAAACUCUGUUAUUAGGGAAGAACAAAUGUGUAAGUAACUAUGCACGUCUUGACGGUACCUAAUCAGAAAGCCACGGCUAACUACGUG
RNAcentral lists this ribosomal RNA (497 nucleotides) under uncultured bacterium. RNAcentral's name for it is "partial 16S ribosomal RNA". It matches the Rfam family "Bacterial small subunit ribosomal RNA", at positions 28 to 507 of the family's 1533-position model. The record is from RNAcentral.